GACGAACGCUGGCGGCGUGCUUAACACAUGCAAGUCGAACGGAAAGGCCCUGCUUUUGUGGGGUGCUCGAGUGGCGAACGGGUGAGUAACACGUGAGUAACCUGCCCUUGACUUUGGGAUAACUUCAGGAAACUGGGGCUAAUACCGGAUAGGAGCUCCUGCUGCAUGGUGGGGGUUGGAAAGUUUCGGCUGUUGGGGAUGGACUCGCGGCUUAUCAGCUUGUUGGUGGGGUAGUGGCUUACCAAGGCUUUGACGGGUAGCCGGCCUGAGAGGGUGGCCGGCGACAUUGGGACUGAGAUACGGACCAGACUGGUACGGGGGGCAGCAGGGGGGAAUAUUGCACAAUGGGCGGAAGCCUGAUGCAGCAACGCCGCGUGCGGGAUGACGGCCUUCGGGUUGUAAACCGCAUUCGCCUGUGACGAAGCGUGAGUGACGGUAAUGGGUAAAGAAGCACCGGCUAACUACGUG
This 468-nucleotide ribosomal RNA is filed under the name uncultured bacterium. RNAcentral describes it as "partial 16S ribosomal RNA". It matches the Rfam family "Bacterial small subunit ribosomal RNA", at positions 28 to 507 of the family's 1533-position model. The record is from RNAcentral.